CCGGCACACACCGGUCUUAUUUCCCAUUUCCUGCUCUCAUCAAGGACCCAAAGGGAGGCACUGGAUCUGUUUGUAGAGAUGAAAGAAACCUUUCGGGGCAUUUCGGGGGAUAUUUACAUUUCAUAUCAAUGCAAAUUCAACAGUCACUUAGAAUACGUCAUAUAACUGGUGCCGGUACGUUUACCUGGUAUAUGACAGCUGUCGGGCUGGGAGGAAGCCUAACGCAUCCCCUUUUAUUAUGGCUGGGCUGUGGCAAUCACAACUUCUGAUUGCUUGCAGCAGGAAGAGUUCAGGUCUGUCUUUUAAUUCAUUCCCACCAUGCGGUUAAAUUCUUUGCAUUACUACAGUGUCAAGACAGACAAGGUCUCCUAAUAGUUUAAUAUUUGCUUGAACAUAGUUUACUGCAUGACACAUUUUUAUUAUUAUUAUUACUACUGGCCAGUGCGCAUCAUCUAAGUAUGACGUAAGUCUUCUCAAGCCACUCCAUUCAUGUUGCUUAUUUAAUUAGACGCCCAUGUGGAAUGGGUUAAGAUGAGUGCGCUACUAGAGCUCACGAAAUGCGGGCAAAUGAGAAUAAGCUAAAGGAGGCUGGCCAGCGUGCGAGCAUUCUGGGAUACAACCCCUGUACAGACCUCACGAGCCUGAAUGGCAUAAGUAUGGACUCUGAUUUGAAUAUUUUUAUGAUUUCUCAAAUGUAGUGUGUGGCAUGUGGGUUACAUACUAACCGGGCCAAGCCCCUUUGUUUGUAUAAAGAUUAAUAUAUGUGAUAUAUUUACAUGACAUGAUAUAAUUGAUGAAGGACUUCUCAUUGUGUAUUAGUGUAUUAGACCUCUUUUGGGAGCAUUAAGCUGGUGUUUGCUUGUCUUGUUCUUCUUUACAAACGUGGCUUUUUCCAGAUAAGAACGGUAUUACCUACUCACUGAUGCAAGACCCCGGUGCUCCAGCCUCUCGCUUGGUUGAAAGAAACACAACAAAAACGGAGCACGUUUAAUUGAGUCUUGUACUCUGGGGAUGUUUAGAUAACGCGUCCCAUUAGAGAGAAAGCGAGAGAGAGAGAGAGAGAGAGAGAGAGAGAGAGAGAGAGAGAGAGAGAGAGAGAGAGAGAGAGAGCUUGACUGUAGCCUUAUUGACUAAAUCCUGGGUCCUCUAUCAAGGAUUCUGCAGCUAUGAACUGAUAUUAUGGUAUUGGCAUGAAGAGCUGAGAAUGAUUCUUUAUUCAGUACUGAUUGAUGCUAAUGAUGCUAAUGGUCAGACUACCUUGGGGCCAAAAACCUUGACCUUUGAGCUGAGAUAAUGCUUGAUGAUGCUGUCACUAUAAUGUGGGCUGGAUUUAGACUAACAGACUAUUUUAAAUUUUGACUUCAUAUGGGCUUCAAAGUCAAAAUAAAUCGUUGUUAGAACAUCAGUUUGGUCACGAAUCAUUUCAAGAGUUAAAGCAGUUAUCAUUUCGGGAAGACACCGCAGACCAAUUAACCAGCAAUAAUAGCCAUCUUCAUUGGAUGCCACUGUAUCAUCAAUAUUACAAUGUCCUAAAGGUUCUAUAACUACGGUGGCCCGAAGAGUCAAAUCAUAGCAUUUAUGAAAAAAAAACAACAACUAAAAGUCAAGAGCAGAAAUACAUUAGGCGAAAACACAACGACAUUGCAAAAAUGUUUGUUUGCUUUGUAAAUACUGUUUGAAAAUGCUUAAAAUAAUAUGACUCUCUGGGCCACUAUGUUGAACCAGGCAGCAAGCAGUUUAUGGUCAAAUACAGAAGCUUUGUGGAAGCACUUCAGGCUCAGUUAAAUAUGCAGUAAAACCUAAAAAUAUGGGUGUCAGAUAACUUCUUCCUAAUAAAGCCUAACAAAACAGACAUUUUUGUUCUUGGUUCUAAAAACUUGGUGCUAAACCUUGAUAACCUACAGGCAUUGCAGUCAGUUGUGCGUUCACACAGGUUGCUUGAUGCUGGAGCAGAGGGGAGCUGAUGUCUCAGGAAGCCCUUUUGCACCUGUGCAGCCUUCAGUGUCUCCCAUUUGAGGUCGUCUGUUCUAGCUGUCUGUCGCAGUCUCUGCUGCACUCUGCUGCUCACGUGCAUCUGUCCAGUGCGUUUCCAAACAGAGCUAACUAGCUGUAACUUCUCCUCCUGUCUGUCCUGGCACUGCUGCAAGCCUGACCCUGAAGGAGACUCCGUCCGCUGGACCAGCGUGGCCACCAUUCGGCCGCCAGCAUGCGCCACUGACCCUCCAGCUGUGCCCGAUAUGCUCAUCCGCAUGUGCCGCUGACCCUCCUGAUGAGACUGACAACUGUUACGGGGCGUCAUGGAGACUUUAGUGAAUAACUCAUCACCACCUCCCUGAGAAGUCCUGCUGGAGUGUGUUUAGAUGUUUCUUGUUCAGAUUCAAACUAGAACUCAGUUGUUCUCGCUGAUGAAGCUGAACACUUCUGCCUAAUAAUCAUUCUCACUUGGCUUCUUUGUCUAUUCUUGUAUAAGAACAAUAUAAUAUAA
Molecule: non-coding RNA, 2485 nt
Organism: Electrophorus electricus (electric eel)
Lineage: Eukaryota; Metazoa; Chordata; Actinopteri; Gymnotiformes; Gymnotidae
Source: RefSeq, a predicted model, not a curated record